CGGCACGUCAUCCCCAAUGCUGCUUGCCGUCUUGAGCUGACUGCGGAAGAGCACUGCGCCUCUGGACUCCUGACCGGAGCUGGGCGAGGGAAUCAUCAACGGGACCAGACAGUGGCGGGAUUGAUUGGACGUGAUCUUGCGCGAGGUAAGGAUUGCUGGGUUGGGAAAGCGAACGCAGAUGUUGUUGGUCUUGGUAAUGGAAAAUCUGCUGCUCCGGGACUUUGAAGUCUUGACGGUGGUCAUAGGUUGGCGAUUGAGCAGGUUCUUGAGAGUCCAGCAGCGGCUCUGAUGAAGUGGUGUGAAGUUUAAGGAAGUCAGUGGCAUGUGUGGGGUGUGUCCAAAACACUUAUGUCAGGACUUCAGCUCACACUGUCAGUUUGGAUUCGUAUGAAUUAAACAAACACCAGACGAG
This is a long non-coding RNA of Carassius carassius (crucian carp), 412 nucleotides long. RefSeq lists it as uncharacterized. The record is from RefSeq and is a predicted model, not a curated record. Lineage: Eukaryota; Metazoa; Chordata; Actinopteri; Cypriniformes; Cyprinidae. The transcript has 3 exons.